Molecule: ribosomal RNA, 481 nt
Filed under: uncultured bacterium
Lineage: Bacteria
Description: partial 16S ribosomal RNA
Rfam family: Bacterial small subunit ribosomal RNA
Source: RNAcentral
GAUGAACGCUGGCGGCGUGCCUAACACAUGCAAGUCGAACGGAGAUUACGGACGGAAGUUUUCGGAUGGAAGCCUGUAAUUCUUAGUGGCGGACGGGUGAGUAACGCGUGGGCAACCUGCCCUAUACAGGGGGAUAGCAGCUGGAAACGGUUGGUAAGACCGCAUAAGUCGGUUAAAUCGCAUGAUUUGAUCGGGAAAUGAGCAAUCAGGUAUAGGAUGGGCCCGCGUCCGAUUAGCCAGUUGGCAGGGUAAAAGCCUACCAAAGCGACGAUCGGUAGCCGGACUGAGAGGUCGGACGGCCACAUUGGGACUGAGACACGGCCCAAACUCCUACGGGAGGCAGCAGUGGGGGAUAUUGCACAAUGGAGGAAACUCUGAUGCAGCGACGCCGCGUGAGUGAAGAAGUAUUUCGGUAUGUAAAGCUCUAUCAGCAGGGAAGAUGAUGACGGUACCUGACUAAGAAGCCCCGGCUAACUACGUG